AUCGACAGCAGCAAGCAGAGAUGGAGAGCUCGACAUGUUCCUUAGAAAAAGGCAGGAGACAGGGAGCCAUCACUCUUCUCUCCUCGCCACCCGUUUCUCUCCCCUUCCUCCUCCCCCUCACCCACGUGGCUCCGCUCCUGCGCUGAAGAUUAAAAGCGCACGAGAUAGAGAGGAGUCGGCUGGAGAGGAAUCAUCAGCCCGCYCAGAGUCGGAAAGACAAAAAGAAAGGUCAACCGUGAUCCUUCAUGGUGUGUGAGAGUGUGUGUCUUGGACAGGCGGUUUGGCAGAAGGYGUGUGAUUUACGUGUUCAAAUACUUCUGUGGAUUCUUUACAAUUUCUUCUACUUAUCUUUA
Molecule: long non-coding RNA, 353 nt
Organism: Poecilia reticulata (guppy)
Lineage: Eukaryota; Metazoa; Chordata; Actinopteri; Cyprinodontiformes; Poeciliidae
Source: RefSeq, a predicted model, not a curated record